This 165-nucleotide ribosomal RNA is filed under the name uncultured bacterium. RNAcentral's name for it is "partial 16S ribosomal RNA". It matches the Rfam family "Bacterial small subunit ribosomal RNA", at positions 355 to 511 of the family's 1533-position model. The record is from RNAcentral.
UAGGGAAUCUUCGGCAAUGGACGAAAGUCUGACCAAGCAACGCCGCGUGAGUGAAGAAGGUUUUCGGAUCGUAAAACUCUGUUGGUAGAGAAGAACGUUGGUGAGAGUGGAGAGCUCAUCAAGUGACGGUAACUACCCAGAAAGGGACGGCUAACUACGUGCCGG